UGCGUAUAAAUCUGUAUGGUAACUUCAUAAGCCUUAUUUCUGAAACAAUAUAAUGCCACCAAAAUAAAUCACUGAUCUAAAUUCUCAAGUUAUGCUAGUGGAAGCAGUCUGCUGUUUUUGAUUUUACAACAGGAGGGGGCAGCAGUGCUCCUCAUAAUGGACACUCUGUUCUGUUUCUCUCCUUCCUCCAACCCCCGGUACUUUAAACAAAUUCAGUCCACAGUAUAAAGCCCACUGAGAAUUCUCCUCCCAACACAGGAGCAUCACCUGUAAGACAGAGAGGGAGAUCUGUGUGUCACAAUGAGAGUUAUUAUAGCAUUAGCUGUGUUGCUGGGGACUUUAUCUCAUGGUCACUGUGUUGAACUCACACAGCCAGGCUCUAUGACUGUAAAACCAGGGCAGCCUUUAUCUAUCUCCUGUAAAGUCUCUGGGUAUUCCCUGACUGAUAGCAGCUACUGUACGUCCUGGAUCCGGCAGCCUGCAGGGAAAGCUCUGGAGUGGAUUGGAUACAUUUGCUCUGAUGGAAACACAUAUUACAAGGAUUCAUUGAAGGGCAAAUUCACCAUCUCCAGA
This is a long non-coding RNA of Anguilla rostrata (American eel), 573 nucleotides long. RefSeq lists it as uncharacterized. The transcript has 2 exons. The record is from RefSeq and is a predicted model, not a curated record. NCBI's taxonomy places the organism in Eukaryota, Metazoa, Chordata, Actinopteri, Anguilliformes, Anguillidae.